This is a small nucleolar RNA of Rosa rugosa (rugosa rose), 128 nucleotides long. The record is from RefSeq and is a predicted model, not a curated record. Lineage: Eukaryota; Viridiplantae; Streptophyta; Magnoliopsida; Rosales; Rosaceae.
GAGCAAGGGCGUCCAAUAUUUAAAAUAUGGCGCAAAUUGCAUUGAAGGUUGGCAAUAAUAUCAAGCGAUUCUCCGUGCCUAUCAAAUUCUAAUUGUUUUGAUUAUGGCCUCGAACAAGUCGAGACAUU